CUUGUCUCACAUCUCAGCCAGGGAUCAUAUUCCUAAGCUUUGAUACCAACUGUGACGCCCCCAAAAUAGGUAUACAUCACCUAUUUUGAGUCGCCAAAUACAUGGUACAUAAUACAAAUACAACCUUAAAUAUACAACAUGAGCUGUGAGUUUUAAUACAAAUAUUGUCUUCUAGACAGUAUUCAAACUCAAAAUAAGUCCUCAAUACAUUUAUUAUCACACUAUUUCAUAGAAUAGUGAGGACUACUAAUGCUAUUAUCUGGACCGUCACUCUGUUCCCCGACUAGUCCCUGCUACGUUCUCAUUUCCUGAAGAGAACAAUGAAAGCAAAAGGGUGAGCUCAACUAGCCCAGUAAGAAAUAUUAUGACUAAGAUAAUGCAGAAUAAAUUAUCAUUAGCCUCUCAACAGUGUAAACUGAUAAAAUAUAACAAACAUCAAGUUUAACUGCAGCGGAACAAGCAAUCCAUUAGAGUAGUCAAGUAGAGAAUAAAAUCUACUAUCUUCUAUGAUUUAAAAGGUUUUUCAUUACUUUUAUCGCUGAGACUCAGCUUAAUAAAUAAUCCACAUCAUCCCAGCACUACGGCCAAGGAUAUUCAUUAGUAUCACGACCAUAAAUUAUCCAUGCACUACGGGCCAAUGAUAUUCGUGUAUUCAUCAAUGGUCAUGAUCAUGCCAAGAACUGUCCAUCAAUGCACUACGACCAAUGAGGAUUUUUACCACAUCAUUUGUAACAUUACGGUCAUGAUUAUACCGAAUAAUCCCUAAUCAUAAUCAUACCAAGUCCAUCUAUACACUACAAGCCACAUAUAACUUUCAACAUAUUAUAAACAUGAGGAUGAUGACAAUUCAAUAAAACAAGUUCAAGAAUAAAUUUUAAAGAUUUAUAAGUUAAUAUAUCCUGAACUCAAUAACGUCCAAAUUGUCAACAUGAUACUGUUUUGUGGAGUAAAAUUCAAGAAUGCUCAGAAGAAUAUUUCCAUGAAAAGAUACUGGAUGAAGCGCAAAUAUCAAGGAUAUUCCACUAAUUUCAUGGAGUAUGGAAGCCAAAACUUUAACCAAGUGAGUAUAAUAGAAUAUAUAAAACCGCAAAUGGAUUUUUUUCGCCAUGCGGUAAUCCACGUAGACAGAUUAUUCUAACAGAGUAAUUUGAACAAGGUCAUGCGUACGUAAUCCGCACAGACAUGAUAUUCCAACAGAAUAAUAAAGAAUGGAAUCAGGUCAUGCGUAAUCUGCACAGACAGGAUGUUCCAACAGGAUAAUAAAGAAUGGAAUAACAACAGAAUUCACCAGGCAUGCGAUAGACCUUACAGACA
RNAcentral lists this long non-coding RNA (1314 nucleotides) under Panax ginseng (ginseng). RNAcentral describes it as "long non-coding RNA (PGIN_LNC019170)". The record is from RNAcentral. Lineage: Eukaryota; Viridiplantae; Streptophyta; Magnoliopsida; Apiales; Araliaceae.